UACGUAGGGAGCAAGCGUUGUCCGGAAUCAUUGGGCGUAAAGAGCGCGUAGGCGGCCGUGUAAGUCCGCUCUGAAAGUCGGAGGCUCAACCUCCGAAAGCGGGUGGAUACUGCACGGCUAGAGUCCGGAAGAGGCGAGUGGAAUUCCUGGUGUAGCGGUGGAAUGCGCAGAUAUCAGGAGGAACACCAACGGCGAAGGCAGCACGCUGGGACGGUACUGACGCUGAGGCGCGAAAGCGUGGGGAGCAAACAGG
RNAcentral lists this ribosomal RNA (253 nucleotides) under uncultured bacterium. Its description in RNAcentral is "partial 16S ribosomal RNA". It matches the Rfam family "Bacterial small subunit ribosomal RNA", at positions 524 to 776 of the family's 1533-position model. The record is from RNAcentral.